CCUACGGGAGGCAGCAGUGAGGAAUAUUGGUCAAUGGCCGGAAGGCUGAACCAGCCAUGCCGCGUGAAGGUCAGUGCCCUAUGGGCGUUAAACUUCUUUUGUGCGGGAGCAAUAAUGGUCACGUGUGGCCAGACGAGAGUACCGUACGAAUAAGCAUCGGCUAACUCCGUGCCAGCAGCCGCGGUAAUACGGGGGAUGCAAGCGUUAUCCGGAUUUAUUGGGUUUAAAGGGUGCGUAGGCUGUGAGGUAAGUCAGCGGUGAAAUGCCUCCGCUCAACGGGGUGAAGUGCCAUUGAUACUGCCUGGCUGGAAUGCGGAUGCCGUGGGAGGAAUGUGUGGUGUAGCGGUGAAAUGCAUAGAUAUCACACAGAACACCGAUUGCGAAGGCAUCUCACGAAUCCGCGAUUGACGCUGAUGCACGAAAGCGUGGGUAUCAAACAGGAUUAGAUACCCUUGUAGUC
RNAcentral lists this ribosomal RNA (460 nucleotides) under uncultured bacterium. RNAcentral describes it as "partial 16S ribosomal RNA". It matches the Rfam family "Bacterial small subunit ribosomal RNA", at positions 338 to 795 of the family's 1533-position model. The record is from RNAcentral.